CUCGAUGAUUGAUGUAUACUACUUGUUCGCACCUUACAUUUGCACGGCGUUUUAAUUUAAUUAUUAAGUAACGGCAGUUUCGUAAUAGGGCGUGUCAAGCCCCGUCACACCGAGGUCUGCUGAACAAGUGCAGGUAAACAGCGACCUCAGUCUAUGUGAUCGCCGUAAUGCAUAGUGUCAACAGUGCAUCCCAAUUUAAGUUAUACAAUAUAGCACUGAAGAUGGUCACUCAGUGACAGAAAAUCGAUUCUGCAAUAGUAAAAAU
Long non-coding RNA from Schistocerca nitens (vagrant locust), 265 nucleotides. RefSeq lists it as uncharacterized. The record is from RefSeq and is a predicted model, not a curated record. The transcript has 3 exons. NCBI's taxonomy places the organism in Eukaryota, Metazoa, Arthropoda, Insecta, Orthoptera, Acrididae.